This 29-nucleotide non-coding RNA is filed under the name Cricetulus griseus (Chinese hamster). The record is from RNAcentral. Lineage: Eukaryota; Metazoa; Chordata; Mammalia; Rodentia; Cricetidae.
GCCUGAAUAAAAUGAUGUAGAAACGGAUG